This 405-nucleotide long non-coding RNA is filed under the name Cavia porcellus (domestic guinea pig). RNAcentral's name for it is "lncRNA (ENSCPOG00000031481.1)". Lineage: Eukaryota; Metazoa; Chordata; Mammalia; Rodentia; Caviidae. The record is from RNAcentral.
UCGGUUGCUGCAGUACAGUUGGCAGGGAGGAAAAGCUGAGCACCUGGCAUCGGUUCCGGCCCCUUCCCUACUAGGCUGCCCUGGCUCCAAUGCUUUGUUGCACAAAGAGCUACAGCCAUGGGAAGGAAAGUUGCCUCCAAGCAAUGGGUGGUGGCUGCCAGAGGCUGGGAGAGCGCUAGAGAGAAGGCUUAUUCAGUGUGGAACUCAUCUUAGGCGAGCUGGCUGGACCGUUUUGUAGCAAGCCCAGGACUCUCUGAGGGUGGUCAUGGAGAAAACCCUGCUGCUUCCUUGUCGCCAAGGUUCUCAGGAUGAAAUGAGCAAAGCAAAUUGGGAGACUUAGUCUGCAGCGGGCAAAUCUAUGCUGUUUUCCCUGGGAGCCGGCUGACUAUAGGGUUUUAAACCUUU